CAUUGGUAAAUGUAUUGCAAAUGCUUUGUGAAAAACAUGUGAUCAAAACAUAAGAAUAAUGUAAAAUUACAUAAAACUUUUACAAAUUUUCAAAAUUAACAUAUAAAGGUUGAAAUGUAUGUCUUUGUGAUACUCGCACAUCAAGUAUCCCAUUCCAGAAUCCUGACAAUCAUUUGAUGAAAAUUUGCAACAGUGGGGAGGUUAAUUCUGGAUCAACUUCCCACAGAGCAUAAUUCUUUUAUAGGGAUCUAAUGAUGAUCAUUCUUGAUUAGAUUCUUAUCAAGAUUUUAUUUAUAAGUAACCCACUGUUUCAAACUUUCCACUAAUUGCUCCUCAGAAUAAAGAUUCCUAUGCAGUUAAAGAUCAGGUUACAUGGUAUGUUUCAUAUUAAAUGAUUUUCUUAAGAAUUUGUGGUAAACUGUUUCGUCCCAAAACAUAAAUAUAAAAUUUAACUAACCCUCACAAUUAAAAGGACAAAAACAGUCAACCAGUACAAAAAUU
RNAcentral lists this long non-coding RNA (501 nucleotides) under Mytilus galloprovincialis (Mediterranean mussel). Lineage: Eukaryota; Metazoa; Mollusca; Bivalvia; Mytilida; Mytilidae. The record is from RNAcentral.